This is a long non-coding RNA of Populus nigra (black poplar), 4420 nucleotides long. RefSeq lists it as uncharacterized. The transcript is spliced from 5 exons. Lineage: Eukaryota; Viridiplantae; Streptophyta; Magnoliopsida; Malpighiales; Salicaceae. The record is from RefSeq and is a predicted model, not a curated record.
UAUAAUGACAAUUAUAUAAAUAAAUUUUUUUAUGUGUAUAUAUAAAGAUGAAAAAUAUUAUGCAUUCUCCCCGUAUCUCGCCAGCUCAAAUGUGCCGUCCAUCUCUUCAUCGACACCUAAUUUUCAAACAAGAGCCUCUAUAUAGUCGCACACCCGCCAUACACCUUUUUCUGCCUCAUCGGUUCAGCUCUAGGAUUCCCAGAUCUACCCUUCAUGGAUUUCCCUUCGAUCUUUUGGAUUCCAGCUCCACCUAGAUCGCUCUGCGAUCUUUAUCCUGAUAUCAGACUUGACAAUCGAAGUUCAACACCGUGAUUUCACGGUCUGUUGUCUUAUUUGAUCGGAGAUCGCUCCUGAGAUACGGCGGAGCUCUGUUUCGAAAGCUCUAGUUCUCAAAGGAUAUAUCCAGUUGGUGUAUGAGCAGCGGAUUAUUCGAGAUUUCAUAUGAAGGUGGGGGCGAUAGAGCAAUCACAGAAUCUCUGUUGCUUGAUGAUGUGACCGUGGGCUGUGAUUUUGUUGAUUGAUUAAGGAGUGAUGGAAGGAGAUAGGGGGUGGAGUUAGUGUGGUUUAUUUAUGAGGAUGAUGUAUAAGAUAUAUAUAUCGGGACUAGAAGGCCAGGAGGCUGAGAGGUCUUGUUUAUUAUCUUUGUCAUCCGACCUUUGCCAUGACAGCCUGAGAUCACGCGGCCCCUUCACGAGGAACUCCAACUCCAGCUUAGCUACCAGUUCAUCAAUUGCACAAUAUUGCAAUUUGUGAGGCUGACUCGAAAGGUAUUCUCUCACUUAUAUCUCCAAUGCGAAUUUCCUUAAUUUUUAGAAUCAAUCAAUCAGUCAUACCUACAUAACUUAGAAUCAGUCAUUUGCAAGAGAUCAUGAUUGUGACUUGGGUUAUUCGUUGCUUACCGGUAUUUGAUCCAAUCCAAUGUUCAUGUAGAUAAUAUGGGAUCCCUAAGAGAUUGCGCAUCUAAAACUAGUUUCAGCUUUGGAAAUUAACGGUUCUUGGAAAAAAACGCCACACACACAACACACAUCCUGGAAAUUGAUUUUGAUAUUUUAUCGUGAUAACUCUAGUCUCCGAUCAGGAGUUUUUGCUUGCACCAAGCAUCUGUUCAUUCUAACGCCCCACUAUAACUAGUAAUCAUUCUUUCCCGACAGUGCAGGUUCAUUUCAUUUUCAAAUGCCUUGAAAUGCAAAUCAUAUUAUAUUUUGUAUCCACUGAAUCUGUCAGAUUUGCCAUUACAGUGCUGACCUGGGCAUGAGUUUUAUUACUAGAUCUAGUUUCUCAAUUUCUAGCUCUUAUGAUACUCUAAAAUCCCAGUUCCUUUCUUAAUCAGGUCCUUUUUACUACCAUAAUUGUGGUUGCAAUUAUGUAUUAUGGAAUAUUGUGCUCUUGAUAUCCUUGUAAAACCUGUGCUCAUGGAUGAUGCUGGUGUUUUGUACUUUGCAAUUGGCUCUGUUGUUUGGUUCCUUGGGUUUUAAGUGAUUUAGCCUUCGGAUGGUGGUUUGGAGCCGCCUGACUUCCAUAACCAUGGCCUUCAACUCUCUCAGCUGUGCCAGCUCAGCAGGUCUUCACGACAUUCUCAAUUGAGCUGUCCAUGCUUCGCCAACGAUUUAGGUGAUCAAGUUAUUAUUCAAUGGUUCGCUCUUAAAUAAAUAACUCAAUAUGAUUUUAUCACCCAGUUACAUUAGUUUUGAAUUGUUUCAUCAUUCUGCGUAAUUCGUUACGUUAUGUUUAAUUCCUUACUGUUUGCCGGGGGAGAUGAAUUUCAUAUUGUUAAUUCAUGAUGGUAGCAGAAGGUUUCUUGUUUUCUCAUGUGUUAAUGGUAUUUCGAUAUUUGAAGUAAUUUAUCACUGAACAAUUUGAAGUUCUUACUGUUUAAAUAUGGCCCUUAAUUUGGUCUUAUCAAAUAUUGUUUGCUUUCAUGACUCAAACCAUUUCUAACCAAAUUCAAAGCUCAUUGAUGUUUUUGAAAUGGUUCAAAUAACGGAACAGAACAAUGACCACGUGGACCCUCGUCCACCAUGAUUUCUUGAAGAAAUGGUAUUACAAAGUCUUGAAGAAAUAGAAUAGGCAGAAAAAGAAAUUGAAAAAUAGCAUGGCUAACGUAAAAUCGCGCCUGCGGUUUUUUAAAAUUUGUCGGUGAAAACUAUGAUAUUUUAAAUAAUUUGUGAAAUAGGCUACAAUAAAUUUCAAACAGGGGAGAGAUUAUGGGUGCAUCGAAGCUUUAAUGAUGGCUGCUUCGAACAUGAGAAAGGUUAUUUAUUGAAAAGAGCUCUUUGAACAUCAAGUAAAAGUUAAGAGACGAUGAUCGGUGAAAUUCAAACUUGUUUAGAGAUGGUGGAUGUUUAUUUGGCUUUAGGCAAUGUGUGUGGAUCAUUCGGGAUUUUUGUCUUCAAGUUAUUUUCUUGAUCCUGAGGUAUGUUUCAAUAUCGUUCUCUUGUUAAAUCUUUAUUAUUUGGAAUUUGUAGCAAUCUAUUUUUAUUAUUUUUCUAAAUAUUGUAAUUUCUAAUUGUGGUUUUUUGAAAUGCAUGGGAAUUGAAAUAUAUUUUUUUCAAUUUUUUUCGCUUGUAUUAGUGUGUUUUUUUUUAUAAAACAAUUAGCUAUUAUAUAUACAUAUUCUCAUAUGUUAAAUUUAUAUAAUAGUUUCCAUAAACACAACAUGCUUUAUAAAGGCUUUCUUUAUCGAAGUUUACCUGGGCUACCAGCUAGUUUACUUUCUAUUUUUUUAUCUAAAAUUUGAAGGCUGCAACAAUAUUGUUGAAGUCAGUAAAAUCUAAAUUGUUGCGGUAAUUAUGUUGCUGUCACUAUUGAGUGGUAGUUAUGUUGGUGUAUUUUUUUUCCCUCGUCAUGCCAUGACAUUUGCUGUAACAAAGAGAAAUGUGUUUGUUUUAAUAAAUUUUUAAUUGUGCUAUUUUUUUAAAAUGCGACGUGCUAGUUCUAAAACCAUGAUUAUGGGUAGGUUGUUCAAGGGAAAUAAUGUACAUAUGAACAUUGCAAGCAUAUCUUAUUUUUCUCGUAUUUUAAUUUUUUUUAUUGAUUUGUUUUUUAAUUUGAUGAUUUUGAAUAUAUUUUUAUAAUUUGUUAUGUUUGUUUUCUAUUGAAGUUAUAGUGGUCAAACAUAUUGAUAUUUGAUCAAUACUUAAUUUUACAAGUAUUUGUUUUAUUAUCAUGUAAUUAAGUAAAAUAGAAUUUUAAAAAAUAAAAUUAUUAAACCUAGUGGCUUACAUAUGGAGUUGAUUCAAUAUCAUUUUGGAAGUUUAUUUUUUUAAAAAACUAAUCCAUGUUUUUACUAUUAAUCCUAAUAGUUUUUAGACUUGACAAGUUGAUUGAGUCAUCUUGAAAUAUUUUAAUAUUAGCAAAAAAAAAAAAGAUAGUGUAUUUUUUUUUAAAAACCAAAUUAUAUUUUUUUUGCAGUCAUUUAAUUUUUUUUAGGUCAAAUUAACCACUUAACCAAGUUAAGGGAAUUUUUACAUGGUUUAGUGUCUUUCUCAAAGUGAUCUUUAGAAAUGUUUCAAAAUAAUUAUUUUAGAUUUUUUUUAUAAUAAUUCAUUAAGGAUUAAAAAAACAUCAAUUUAAUUUUUUAAAAAGUAAAUACACUAAAAAUGCAGUUGGAAACACAUUCUAAAUAGACACUUUAUUCAAAACUUGAGUUAGUCAACAAAAGUUUUUAAUAUUGACUUGUUUAGCUAGAUUUAAUAAAAAAAAUCUUUAACAUGACUAGAAGACUAAACUAGUGCCUCUUUAAAUAAUUUGGUAUCCAACUCUUUGAAUUUCAAUUGUCUCGAGUCAUAUGGAAAAACUUGGUUCUUCUGUUAGAAUAUUUAUUCACGCAACAGCAUGCACGAAUGUGCGUAUUAUUGUAAAUUGUACAGCAAUGCAGAAUCUUUACUUCAUUUUUUUUAACGCUUUGUUUGAUUCAGAGUCAAUUUUAAUGAUGCCUCUUGAUGAAAAGGUGAAAUAUAAAAGACUUGUGAGGUUGAUCUAAUGUGGGUUAAUGCAGACAAUUUGUUUUAUCAGUUGCCUGCCCAUUCUUUUUAUCAAUCCAUGAGGUUCUGUUCCGACUUCAAAAUAAAAAUAAAAAUUAGGAGUGAUGGUGGACUUUUAGGUACAAUAUUUUUUUUUAAACAGUGAAUGAUUCUUCUUGUCCCUUAUUCGAGUCCAUUCUUCUUUGAUGUCCACAAGAUCUAUAAGCUCAUAAUGGAAGAGCGCUCGUUAUCCCAUCAUGGGGUUUUGAGAGGUCCAAACUACACACUAAAUGAAGUAGCAAUGGGCUUUGGACAACACAAGGUUCAAAGUUGCCUGACAUGGGUAUUGUGGCAAAGUCUCGGAGUAGAGUUUGCUAAAGAGAGGCUUAAUUGCUAUUUUACCCUUUGUUAGUAACUUGAAGUAGUUUGGCCUAAAAUAACCCAGUUCCUUUUACCUA